GACGGAGGGGGCAAGCGUUGUCCGGACUUACUGGGCGUAAAGCGCGCGUAGGUGGCGCGGUGCGUCGGUGCUGAAAGCGCCGGGCUUAACCCGGCGAGGUGUGCCGAUACGACCGCACUCGAGGCAGGGAGAGGAUGGCGGAAUGCCGGGUGUAGUAGUGAAAUGCGUAGAUACCCGGCGGAACGCCAGAGACGAAGGUGGCCAUCUGGCCCUGACCUGACACUGAGGCGCGAUAGCGUGGGGAGCAAACCGG
Molecule: ribosomal RNA, 253 nt
Filed under: uncultured bacterium
Lineage: Bacteria
Description: partial 16S ribosomal RNA
Rfam family: Bacterial small subunit ribosomal RNA
Source: RNAcentral